This 229-nucleotide ribosomal RNA is filed under the name uncultured bacterium. Its description in RNAcentral is "partial 16S ribosomal RNA". It matches the Rfam family "Bacterial small subunit ribosomal RNA", at positions 107 to 334 of the family's 1533-position model. The record is from RNAcentral.
UGAGUAACACGUAUCCAACCUGCCGUCUACUCUUGGCCAGCCUUCUGAAAGGAAGAUUAAUCCAGGAUGGCAUCAUGAGUUCACAUGUCCGCAUGAUUAAAGGUAUUUUCCGGUAGACGAUGGGGAUGCGUUCCAUUAGAUAGUAGGCGGGGCAACGGCCCACCUAGUCAACGAUGGAUAGGGGUUCUGAGAGGAAGGUCCCCCACAUUGGAACUGAGACACGGUCCAA